RNAcentral lists this ribosomal RNA (433 nucleotides) under Songkhlanaia tamodienica. RNAcentral's name for it is "partial large subunit ribosomal RNA". The record is from RNAcentral. Lineage: Eukaryota; Metazoa; Mollusca; Bivalvia; Unionida; Unionidae.
GAAACCGCUUAGAGGCAAACGGGUGGACCCGCAAUGUGUCGACUCGGGGGAUUCAACCGGGCCGUUGCGCACGGGACGCGCUGGGGUUAUGCGGAGCCGUAAAGCCCGUGCUCCGGCGUGGUCUCCGGGCGGCCUGGUGCACUUUCCUCGGGUCGAUAGCCACGGCCGGCUCUCCGUGCGGCCAGAAGCCUGCCGCUGGUAAGGUGACCGCGGGCCCCCGCGGCCCGCGGUGUUAUAGACCAGCUCGUCCGUUGAGCUCGUCGGAGGGCCGAGGAAGGUUGCCGCGUCCCGUCACCCUCCGGCCAUCCUUGCUCGUCACGACUGGGGUGUACUGUCCCGUCAGUGCUCUCCCGACCGCGAGCGUAGGAAGGGCUGGUACGGUGUGGGACUUUGCUUCGGGCCAGUGGCGAAUCGGUCGGUCCCCCACCCGACC